GGAUAUCGCUCAAUGGAUAGAGCGCUUGCUUAGCAUGCACAAGGUCCUGGGUUCAAUCCCCAGAACCA
Molecule: transfer RNA, 68 nt
Filed under: Marmota monax (woodchuck)
Lineage: Eukaryota; Metazoa; Chordata; Mammalia; Rodentia; Sciuridae
Description: tRNA.Ala
Source: RNAcentral